Non-coding RNA from Misgurnus anguillicaudatus (oriental weatherfish), 240 nucleotides. NCBI's taxonomy places the organism in Eukaryota, Metazoa, Chordata, Actinopteri, Cypriniformes, Cobitidae. The record is from RefSeq and is a predicted model, not a curated record.
UGUAUUUACAUUUGAAAUGGACAUGAACACUGAAGAGUCAUCAUUCAAAAUUGUUGGCAUGAGCGAGGCAGCAAAAAGCGCGAGGGGUCUCGUAACGGCUGGACUGCAAGGUGGAGAGACGAAUCUUCAAACUUAAAGGCACGAGACAGCAGAGAUUGCAACUCUAACCUGAUAGGACUGGUGGUGUGAGACAAAUGAGAAAAGGUGAAAAACCCACUGUGUACACUGCCCUUUUUCAUG